Small nucleolar RNA from Hucho hucho (huchen), 142 nucleotides. The record is from Ensembl. NCBI's taxonomy places the organism in Eukaryota, Metazoa, Chordata, Actinopteri, Salmoniformes, Salmonidae.
GCACUGUCUUUGAACCUGUGAUGCCCUACCCGUGGUCUCUCAGGCCAAACUACCGUUGCUACAUCAACCCCAGGCUUGUUUAUAACUGGAGAUUGCUGGCAACCCCACUGGGUCUCUCUUUUAAAAGCAACUCGCAACGUAU